RNAcentral lists this ribosomal RNA (253 nucleotides) under uncultured bacterium. RNAcentral describes it as "partial 16S ribosomal RNA". It matches the Rfam family "Bacterial small subunit ribosomal RNA", at positions 524 to 776 of the family's 1533-position model. The record is from RNAcentral.
UACGAGGGGGGCAAGCGUUGUUCGGAAUUAUUGGGCGUAAAGAGCUCGUAGGCGGUUUGUCGCGUCUGCUGUGAAAACCCGAGGCUCAACCUCGGGCCUGCAGUGGGUACGGGCAGACUAGAGUGCGGUAGGGGAGAUUGGAAUUCCUAGUGUAGCGGUGGAAUGCGCAGAUAUCAGGAGGAACACCGAUGGCGAAGGCAGAUCUCUGGGCCGUAACUGACGCUGAGGAGCGAAAGCGUGGGGAGCGAACAGG